This 22-nucleotide microRNA is filed under the name Gossypium raimondii (Peruvian cotton). Its description in RNAcentral is "gra-miR167c". Its record names the gene gra-miR167c. Lineage: Eukaryota; Viridiplantae; Streptophyta; Magnoliopsida; Malvales; Malvaceae. The record is from miRBase by way of RNAcentral.
UCAGAUGAAGCUGCCAGCAUGA